Molecule: unclassified non-coding RNA, 330 nt
Filed under: Hevea brasiliensis (rubber tree)
Lineage: Eukaryota; Viridiplantae; Streptophyta; Magnoliopsida; Malpighiales; Euphorbiaceae
Source: RNAcentral
AAAAAACGGGGCAAGCGACUCGUUGUUUAUAAACUGUCCAUCUCUAACAUAAACACUAUAAUUUUUUUUGGAAAGUCCUGAAAUAUCUUCAUUCACAAACUUGAACAUUUUCAGGAUCCACGUAAUAUCAAAUUGUGCAGGAAAUGGAGAAGGUGAAAAAUAGAAUCUGAUAGGCGGAGGUGGUGUAGGCGGCGGACUUUUAAUUGUGGUAACCAGGAACUUCCAGUCCGUGGGUUUAACUACAGAGGGAGAUACAGACAGCGGUGAGCAACUGUAGCUGAAUGAACUUUCGGCAAUAAUUAAGUUUACAACAAAGCAAUAAUGGCUGGA